UACGAAGGGGGCGAGCGUUGUUCGGAAUCACUGGGCGUAAAGGGCGUGUAGGCGGCCCUCUUAGUCGCGUGUGAAAGCCCCGGGCUCAACCUGGGAACGGCGCGCGAAACGGGAGGGCUGGAGUUCGGGAGAGGAGAGUGGAAUUCCCAGUGUAGAGGUGAAAUUCGUAGAUAUUGGGAAGAACACCCGUGGCGAAGGCGGCCCACUGGGCCGGUACUGACGCUGAGGCGCGAAGGCGUGGGGAGCGAACGGG
This 253-nucleotide ribosomal RNA is filed under the name uncultured bacterium. RNAcentral describes it as "partial 16S ribosomal RNA". It matches the Rfam family "Bacterial small subunit ribosomal RNA", at positions 524 to 776 of the family's 1533-position model. The record is from RNAcentral.